RNAcentral lists this unclassified non-coding RNA (331 nucleotides) under soil metagenome. RNAcentral's name for it is "partial contains 5.8S ribosomal RNA, internal transcribed spacer 2, and large subunit ribosomal RNA". The stretch from base 1 to 120 matches the Rfam family "5.8S ribosomal RNA", at positions 35 to 154 of the family's 154-position model. The record is from RNAcentral.
GAUGAAGAACGUAGCGAAAUGCGAUAAGUAAUGUGAAUUGCAGAAUUCAGUGAAUCAUCGAAUCUUUGAACGCACAUUGCGCCCCCUGGUAUUCCGGGGGGCAUGCCUGUUCGGGCGUCAUUUCACCACUCAAGCCUCGCUUGGUAUUGGGCAACGCGGUCCGCCGCGUGCCUCAAAUCGACCGGCUGGGUCUUCUGUCCCCUAAGCGUUGUGGAAACUAUUCGCUAAAGGGUGUUCGGGAGGCUACGCCGUAAAACAACCCCAUUUCUAAGGUUGACCUCGGAUCAGGUAGGGAUACCCGCUGAACUUAAGCAUAUCAAUAAGCGGAGGA